Molecule: ribosomal RNA, 253 nt
Filed under: uncultured bacterium
Lineage: Bacteria
Description: partial 16S ribosomal RNA
Rfam family: Bacterial small subunit ribosomal RNA
Source: RNAcentral
UACGGAGGGUGCGAGCGUUGUCCGGAAUCACUGGGCGUAAAGGGCGCGUAGGCGGCGCGGAAAGUCAACGGUGAAAGCUUGGGGCUCAACCCCGAGUCGGCCGUCGAUACUUCCGUGCUCGAGCACUGUAGAGGCAGGUGGAAUUCCGGGUGUAGCGGUGGAAUGCGUAGAGAUCCGGAAGAACACCGGUGGCGAAGGCGGCAUCCUGGACCGAUACUGACGCUGAGGAGCGAAAGCCAGGGGAGCAAACGGG